This 152-nucleotide ribosomal RNA is filed under the name uncultured bacterium. RNAcentral describes it as "partial 16S ribosomal RNA". It matches the Rfam family "Bacterial small subunit ribosomal RNA", at positions 1348 to 1500 of the family's 1533-position model. The record is from RNAcentral.
AUCAGCAUGCCGCGGUGAAUACGUUCCCGGGCCUUGUACACACCGCCCGUCACACCAUGAGAGUCGGGAACACCCGAAGUCCGUAUCUAACCGCAAGGAGGGCGCGGCCGAAGGUGGGUCCGGUAAUUGGGGUGAAGUCGUAACAAGGUAUC